RNAcentral lists this ribosomal RNA (253 nucleotides) under uncultured bacterium. RNAcentral's name for it is "partial 16S ribosomal RNA". It matches the Rfam family "Bacterial small subunit ribosomal RNA", at positions 524 to 776 of the family's 1533-position model. The record is from RNAcentral.
UACGUAGGGUGCGAGCGUUGUCCGGAAUUACUGGGCGUAAAGAGCUCGUAGGCGGCUUGUCACGUCGGGUGUGAAAGCCCGGGGCUUAACCCCGGGUCUGCAUUCGAUACGGGCUAGCUAGAGUGUGGUAGGGGAGAUCGGAAUUCCUGGUGUGGCGGUGAAAUGCGCAGAUAUCAGGAGGAACACCGGUGGCGAAGGCGGAUCUCUGGGCCAUUACUGACGCUGAGGAGCGAAAGCGUGGGGAGCGAACAGG